Molecule: unclassified non-coding RNA, 334 nt
Filed under: soil metagenome
Description: partial contains 5.8S ribosomal RNA, internal transcribed spacer 2, and large subunit ribosomal RNA
Rfam family: 5.8S ribosomal RNA (bases 1-120)
Source: RNAcentral
GAUGAAGAACGUAGCGAAAUGCGAUAAGUAAUGUGAAUUGCAGAAUUCAGUGAAUCAUCGAAUCUUUGAACGCACAUUGCGCCCGCCAGUAUUCUGGCGGGCAUGCCUGUUCGAGCGUCAUUUCAACCAUCAAGCCCUGCUUGCGUUGGGGUCCUGCGGCUGCCCGCAGGCCCUGAAAACCAGUGGCGGGCUCGCUAGUCACACCGAGCGCAGUAAUACAUCUCGCUUUGGGCGUGCGGCGGGUUCUUGCCGUUAAACACCCCCUUUUUACCAAGGUUGACCUCGGAUCAGGUAGGAAUACCCGCUGAACUUAAGCAUAUCAAUAAGCGGACGA